CAAAUAUUAACGAUGCUAUUUGGUUAGACGUCAAUUUUGUCAACAGCUUAAGGACGAUAUAUCCUUCCAUUGAUUCAGCUCUGCCCAGUAUUUUAGUGUUCUGCAAAUCCAUCUCAAUGAGCGUACCCGCAAAAUUACCAUCCCCCACCUGAUUGCUCUGUCGAAGAUGAGUACAUUAACGACUCUACAAUGGCAAGGCGAACUGUUAAUGGCUGUUAAUUUUCCAUGAUACGAGGAACCAUCGCCUCUAUUGACAGGAGUCGAUAGAGUUCAUCAGUGGAGAUUGGGGCUUCCACUUCCGACUUUGAUUAGGAUGUUGGGGAUGGUUAGGGGCAAAUUUGUUUUGAAUGUGUUGAGUAAAUGUGAAAAGGAUUUAGGGAAGCAUUUUGGAG
Long non-coding RNA from Hermetia illucens (black soldier fly), 392 nucleotides. RefSeq lists it as uncharacterized. NCBI's taxonomy places the organism in Eukaryota, Metazoa, Arthropoda, Insecta, Diptera, Stratiomyidae. The transcript is spliced from 3 exons. The record is from RefSeq and is a predicted model, not a curated record.